RNAcentral lists this ribosomal RNA (1590 nucleotides) under Triticum aestivum (bread wheat). Its description in RNAcentral is "partial small subunit ribosomal RNA". The record is from RNAcentral. Lineage: Eukaryota; Viridiplantae; Streptophyta; Magnoliopsida; Poales; Poaceae.
AUGAGCAUAGUGACCAUGGAGAGUUUAUCGUUAUAUCUGGUGGCCGUGGGGUCAGCGGCGGCGGUGGUCUGCCUCUGCGUGGCCGCGUGGCGGCGCCGCGUCAGGGAGGUCUUCCGUCAGCAGGGGAUCGACGGCCCUCCGCCGUCGUCGUUCCUGAGGGGUAAUCUCUCGGAGGUGCAGGCGAGGGCGCCGCAGGCCGUUGCGGCGGAGGACGGCGGCGCUGGCCAGUGGGACCUCCACAAGGACGGCUUCGACGACUACUGCAAGAUGAUCUUCCCCUUCUUCCACAAGUGCAGGAAAGCCUACGGUGACACGUAUCUGUACUGGCUCGGGCAGCGGCCGGCGCUGUACGUGACGGACCCGGAGCUGAUCCGGGCAAUCGGACGGUGCGACUCGUUAGACAUGGGCAAGCCGACGUUCCAGCAGAAGGGGCAGGAGCCCUUAUUCGGCGCCGGCGUCCUCAAGGCCAACGGCGCCUGCUGGGCGCGCCAGCGCAAGGUCAUCGCGCCCGAGUUCUACAUGGCCAAAGUCAGGGGCAUGGUGGGGCUCAUGGUCAGUGCGGCGCAGCCGCUUCUGCGCUCGUGGGAAGCCGCCGUCGACGGCGCCAAGGGCGGCAUCGCGGCAGUAGACGUCGACGCCGACAUCCGCAGCUUCUCCUUCGACGUCAUCUCCCGGGCCUGCUUCGGGAACGACCACUCCACGGGGAAGGAGAUCUUCCUCCGGCUCAGGGCGCUGUCCGGGCUCAUGUCCGAUCCCAGCGUCAUGUUCACCGUCCCGUCGCUGAGGUUUCUGCCGACGGAGAAGAACCGGAGGAUCUGGAGGCUCACGCAGGAGAUCCGGUCUUUGAUUCUGGAGAUCGCGAGAGGGCGCCGGGCGGCGACGGGGAUUUCUCCGGGCCCUGACUUCCUGCGGUCCAUCAUCGACAACAGCGGCGACCAGCCGCGGCCGGACGACUUCGUGGUUGACAACUGCAAGAACAUCUACUUCGCAGGCCAGGAGACGACUGCGGUCACCGCCACCUGGUGCCUCAUGCUGCUCGCCGCCCACCCUGAGUGGCAGGAUCGGGCGCGCGCCGAGGUGCUCGAUGUCUGCGGUGGCGCCGCCGGCGCCGCGGCACCAGACUUCGACAUGGUAUCUCGGAUGAAGACGGUGAGCAUGGUGGUGCUGGAGACGCUGCGGCUGUUCCCGCCGUCGUCGUUCGUGGUGCGGGAGACGCUCCGUGAUGUUCGGCUGGGCCAGCUGCUCGCUCCCAAGGGUACCUACUUCUUCGUGCCGGUCUCUACCAUGCACCACGACCCCACCGCCUGGGGCCCGACAGUGCGCCGGUUCAACCCCAACCGGUUCCAGAACGGGGUGGCGGUGGCGUGCAAGCACCCGCAGGCGGCGUUCAUGCCGUUCGGCCUCGGAGCGCGUACCUGCCUAGGCCAGAACCUCGCGAUCGUUGAGGCCAAGACGCUCCUCGCCGUCAUCCUCGCGCGGUUUGCCUUUGCUCUCUCACCGGACUACAGGCACUCCCCGGCGUUCCGGCUCAUCAUCGAGCCGGAGUUCGGGCUGCGCCUCCUCAUACGCCGUGUCGAUGGUUUUACUUGA